RNAcentral lists this ribosomal RNA (301 nucleotides) under uncultured bacterium. Its description in RNAcentral is "partial 16S ribosomal RNA". It matches the Rfam family "Bacterial small subunit ribosomal RNA", at positions 509 to 809 of the family's 1533-position model. The record is from RNAcentral.
CAGCCGCCGCGGGAAUACGGAGGGCGCGAGCGUUACCCGGAUUUACUGGGCGUAAAGGGCGUGUAGGCGGCCUGGGGCGUCCCAUGCGAAAGGCCACGGCUCAACCGUGGAGGAGCGUGGGAUACGCUCAGGCUAGAGGGUGGGAGAGGGUGGUGGAAUUCCCGGAGUAGCGGUGAAAUGCGCAGAUACCGGGAGGAACGCCGAUGGCGAAGGCAGCCACCUGGUCCACUUCUGACGCUGAGGCGCGAAAGCGUGGGGAGCAAACCGGAUUAGAUACCCCUGUAGUCCCUGUCUCUUAUAU